AUUGAACGCUAGCGGCAUGCUUUACACAUGCAAGUCGAACGAGUGGCGGACGGGUGAGUAAUGUAUGGGAACGUGCCCAGUAGCGGGGGAUAACUACUCGAAACGGUAGCUAAUACCGCAUACCAUCAGAUGUGCCCAUAUGGGAUUAGCUAGUUGGUGGGGUAAAGGCUCACCAAGGCAACGAUCCCUAGCUGGUCUGAGAGGAUGACCAGCCACACUGGAACUGAGACACGGUCCAGACUCCUACGGGAGGCAGCAGUGGGGAAUAUUGGACAAUGGGCGCAAGCCUGAUGCAGCCAUGCCGCGUGUAUGAAGAAGGCCUUCGGGUUGUAAAGUACUUUCAGCGAGGAGGCGUUACCCGCAGAAGAAGCACCGGCUAACUACGUGCCAGCAGCCGCGGUAAUAC
This 406-nucleotide ribosomal RNA is filed under the name uncultured bacterium. RNAcentral describes it as "partial 16S ribosomal RNA". It matches the Rfam family "Bacterial small subunit ribosomal RNA", at positions 30 to 526 of the family's 1533-position model. The record is from RNAcentral.